GCCACUAAGCGAAAGGCUUUAUUAAACCGUACUGAAAACCGACACAGGUGGUCAGGUAGAGAAUACUCAGGCGCUUGAGAGAACUCGGGUGAAGGAACUAGGCAAAAUAGCACCGUAACUUCGGGAGAAGGUGCGCUUACAGUAAUUGUAGUCCCUUGCGGAUGAAGGUGAAGUAAGUCGAAGAUACCAGCUGGCUGCAACUGUUUAUUAAAAACACAGCACUCUGCAAACACGAAAGUGGACGUAUAGGGUGUGAUGCCUGCCCGGUGCUGGAAGGUUAAUUGAUGGUGUUAUCGAAAGAGAAGCUCCUGAUCGAAGCCCCAGUAAACGGCGGCCGUAACUAUAACGGUCCUAAGGUAGCGAAAUUCCUUGUCGGGUAAGUUCCGACCUGCACGAAUGGCAUAAUGAUGGCCAGGCUGUCUCCACCCGAGACUCAGUGAAAUUGAAAUCGCCGUGAAGAUGCGGUGUACCCGCGGCUAGACGGAAAGACCCCGUGAACCUUUACUAUAGCUUGACACUGAACAUUGAAUUUUGAUGUGUAGGAUAGGUGGGAGCCUUUGAAGCAGUGACGCCAGUCAUUGUGGAGGCGACCUUGAAAUACCACCCUUUAACGUUUGAUGUUCUAACGAAGUGCCUGAAACGGGUACUCGGACAGUGUCUGGUGGGUAGUUUGACUGGGGCGGUCUCCUCCCAAAGCGUAACGGAGGAGCACGAAGGUUUGCUAAUGACGGUCGGACAUCGUCAGGUUAGUGCAAUGGUAUAAGCAAGCUUAACUGCGAGACGGACAAGUCGAGCAGGUGCGAAAGCAGGUCAUAGUGAUCCGGUGGUUCUGAAUGGAAGGGCCAUCGCUCAACGGAUAAAAGGUACUCCGGGGAUAACAGGCUGAUACCGCCCAAGAGUUCAUAUCGACGGCGGUGUUUGGCACCUCGAUGUCGGCUCAUCACAUCCUGGGGCUGAAGUAGGUCCCAAGGGUAUGGCUGUUCGCCAUUUAAAGUGGUACGCGAGCUGGGUUUAGAACGUCGUGAGACAGUUCGGUCCCUAUCUGCCGUGGGCGUUGGAUGAUUGAUUGGGGCUGCUCCUAGUACGAGAGGACCGGAGUGGACGCAUCACUGGUGUUCCAGUUGUCUCGCCAGAGGCAUUGCUGGGUAGCUAAAUGCGGAAGAGAUAAGUGCUGAAAGCAUCUAAGCACGAAACUUGCCAAGAGAUGAGUCAUCCCUGACUUUAAGUCAGUAAGGGUUGUUGUAGACUACGACGUAGAUAGGUUGGGUGUGUAAGUGUAGUGAUACAUUGAGCUAACCAAUACUAAUUGCCCGAGAGGCUUAACCAU
This 1327-nucleotide ribosomal RNA is filed under the name Pasteurella multocida. Its description in RNAcentral is "partial 23S ribosomal RNA". It matches the Rfam family "Bacterial large subunit ribosomal RNA", at positions 1617 to 2925 of the family's 2925-position model. Lineage: Bacteria; Pseudomonadati; Pseudomonadota; Gammaproteobacteria; Pasteurellales; Pasteurellaceae. The record is from RNAcentral.